RNAcentral lists this ribosomal RNA (425 nucleotides) under uncultured bacterium. Its description in RNAcentral is "partial 16S ribosomal RNA". It matches the Rfam family "Bacterial small subunit ribosomal RNA", at positions 354 to 796 of the family's 1533-position model. The record is from RNAcentral.
GUGGGGAAUAUUGGACAAUGGGCGCAAGCCUGAUCCAGCCAUGCCGCGUGAGUGAUGAAGGCCUUAGGGUUGUAAAGCUCUUUCGUCAGGGAAGAUAAUGACGGUACCUGAAGAAGAAGCCCCGGCUAACUUCGUGCCAGCAGCCGCGGUAAUACGAAGGGGGCUAGCGUUGCUCGGAAUCACUGGGCGUAAAGCGCACGUAGGCGGCUUUCUAAGUCAGGGGUGAAAUCCUGGAGCUCAACUCCAGAACUGCCUUUGAUACUGGAGAGCUUGAGUUCGGGAGAGGUGAGUGGAACUGCGAGUGUAGAGGUGAAAUUCGUAGAUAUUCGCAAGAACACCAGUGGCGAAGGCGGCUCACUGGCCCGAUACUGACGCUGAGGUGCGAAAGCGUGGGGAGCAAACAGGAUUAGAAACCCCUGUAGUCC